Molecule: non-coding RNA, 113 nt
Organism: Acanthosepion pharaonis
Lineage: Eukaryota; Metazoa; Mollusca; Cephalopoda; Sepiida; Sepiidae
Source: the annotation of a GenBank genome assembly
UUACGGCCACAUCACGUUGAAACACCGGUUCCUAUACGAUUUCCGAAGUUAAGCAACGUCGACCAUGGUCAGUCUCUAGAUGGGUGACCCCUUGGGAAUACCAGGUGCUGUAA